CUUAUACUCUCGCCAGCGGUCCCUUCAUUGGGACUUCAGCUCCAGUUGUGGCAGGGGGUUCUGGCGAUUAGCUGGUCCUCUGUCUCCCUGGUUUCCAUGGCCGCGGCGGGCCUGUUCUGCCAACGCCAUGAGACCCACCGGCCAGGCUUCCCGCCUGCGCCCGAGGGGUGGACCCCCACCUCGAUCCCGUCCCUCGAGGAACGUCUCGAUGA
This is a regulatory RNA element of Synechococcus sp. SynAce01, 212 nucleotides long. It matches the Rfam family "psaA RNA". The record is from Rfam. Lineage: Bacteria; Bacillati; Cyanobacteriota; Cyanophyceae; Synechococcales; Synechococcaceae.